UGGCGGACGGGUGAGUAACGCGUGGGUAACCUGCCUCAUACAGGGGGAUAACAGUUAGAAAUAGCUGCUAAUACCGCAUAAGCGCACGGUUCCGCAUGGAACAGUGUGAAAAACUCCGGUGGUGUGAGAUGGACCCGCGUCUGAUUAGCCAGUUGGCGGGGUAACGGCCCACCAAAGCGACGAUCAGUAGCCGGCCUGAGAGGGUGAACGGCCACAUUGGGACUGAGACACGGCCCAAACUCCUACGGGAGGCAGCAUG
This 259-nucleotide ribosomal RNA is filed under the name uncultured bacterium. Its description in RNAcentral is "partial 16S ribosomal RNA". It matches the Rfam family "Bacterial small subunit ribosomal RNA", at positions 96 to 353 of the family's 1533-position model. The record is from RNAcentral.